This 253-nucleotide ribosomal RNA is filed under the name uncultured bacterium. RNAcentral describes it as "partial 16S ribosomal RNA". It matches the Rfam family "Bacterial small subunit ribosomal RNA", at positions 524 to 776 of the family's 1533-position model. The record is from RNAcentral.
UACGAAGGGGGCUAGCGUUGCUCGGAAUCACUGGGCGUAAAGCGCACAUAGGCGGAUUGCUAAGUCAGGGGUGAAAUCCUGGAGCUCAACUCCAGAACUGCCUUUGAUACUGGCGAUCUUGAGUCCGGGAGAGGUGAGUGGAACUGCGAGUGUAGAGGUGAAAUUCGUAGAUAUUCGCAAGAACACCAGUGGCGAAGGCGGCUCACUGGCCCGGUACUGACGCUGAGGUGCGAAAGCGUGGGGAGCAAACAGG